RNAcentral lists this ribosomal RNA (301 nucleotides) under uncultured bacterium. RNAcentral's name for it is "partial 16S ribosomal RNA". It matches the Rfam family "Bacterial small subunit ribosomal RNA", at positions 509 to 808 of the family's 1533-position model. The record is from RNAcentral.
CAGUAGCCGCGGUAAUACGAAGGGUGCAAGCGUUAAUCGGAAUUACUGGGCGUAAAGCGUGCGCAGGCGGUUAUAUAAGACAGAUGUGAAAUCCCCGGGCUCAACCUGGGACCUGCAUUUGUGACUGUAUAGCUAGAGUACGGUAGAGGGGAUGGAAUUCCGCGUGUAGCAGUGAAAUGCGUAGAUAUGCGGAAGAACACCGAUGGCGAAGGCAAUCCCCUGGACCUGUACUGACGCUCAUGCACGAAAGCGUGGGGAGCAAACAGGAUUAGAUACCCGUGUAGUCCCUGUCUCUUAUACA